RNAcentral lists this transfer RNA (69 nucleotides) under Ictidomys tridecemlineatus (thirteen-lined ground squirrel). RNAcentral's name for it is "Spermophilus tridecemlineatus (thirteen-lined ground squirrel) tRNA". It matches the Rfam family "tRNA". From Rfam's summary of the family: Transfer RNA (tRNA) molecules are approximately 80 nucleotides in length. The record is from Rfam by way of RNAcentral. Lineage: Eukaryota; Metazoa; Chordata; Mammalia; Rodentia; Sciuridae.
GGGGCUGUAGCUCAGUGGUUGAGCGCUUGCCUCAUAUGCAUGAGGAACUGGGUUCGAUCCUCAGUACCA